UACGUAGGGCGCAAGCGUUAUCCGGAAUUAUUGGGCGUAAAGAGCUCGUAGGCGGUUUGUCGCGUCUGCCGUGAAAGUCCGGGGCUCAACUCCGGAUCUGCGGUGGGUACGGGCAGACUAGAGUGAUGUAGGGGAGACUGGAAUUCCUGGUGUAGCGGUGAAAUGACGCAGAUAUCAGGAGGAACACCGGUGGCGAAGGCGGGUCUCUGGGCCGAUACUGACGCUGAGGAGCGAAAGCAUGGGGGAGCGAACAGG
RNAcentral lists this ribosomal RNA (255 nucleotides) under uncultured bacterium. RNAcentral's name for it is "partial 16S ribosomal RNA". It matches the Rfam family "Bacterial small subunit ribosomal RNA", at positions 524 to 776 of the family's 1533-position model. The record is from RNAcentral.